UACGUAGGGUGCAAGCGUUAAUCGGAAUUACUGGGCGUAAAGCGUGCGCAGGCGGGCUUUUAAGCCAGACGUGAAAUCCCCGGGCUUAACCUGGGAAUGGCGUUUGGGACUGGAAGUCUGGAGUGCGGCAGAGGAGACUGGAAUUCCUGGUGUAGCAGUGAAAUGCGUAGAUAUCAGGAGGAACACCGAUGGCGAAGGCAGGUCUCUGGGCUGACACUGACGCUCAUGCACGAAAGCGUGGGGAGCAAACAGG
This 253-nucleotide ribosomal RNA is filed under the name uncultured bacterium. RNAcentral's name for it is "partial 16S ribosomal RNA". It matches the Rfam family "Bacterial small subunit ribosomal RNA", at positions 524 to 776 of the family's 1533-position model. The record is from RNAcentral.